AUACGUAGGUGGCAAGCGUUAUCCGGAUUUACUGGGUGUAAAGGGCGCGUAGGCGGGGGUGCAAGUCAGAUGUGAAAUCUAUGGGCUUAACUCAUAAACUGCAUUUGAAACUGUAUCUCUUGAGUGCUGGAGAGGUAGACGGAAUUCCUUGUGUAGCGGUGAAAUGCGUAGAUAUAAGGAAGAACACCAGUGGCGAAGGCGGUCUACUGGACAGUAACUGACGCUGAGGCGCGAAAGCGUGGGGAGCAAACAGGAUUAGAUACCCUGGUAGUCCACGCGGUAAACGAUGAAUGCUAGGUGUUGCGGGUAUCGACCCCUGCAGUGCCGGAGUAAACACAAUAAGCAUUCCGCCUGGGGAGUACGGCCGCAAGGUUGAAACUCAAAUGAAUUGACGGG
This 396-nucleotide ribosomal RNA is filed under the name uncultured bacterium. Its description in RNAcentral is "partial 16S ribosomal RNA". It matches the Rfam family "Bacterial small subunit ribosomal RNA", at positions 523 to 917 of the family's 1533-position model. The record is from RNAcentral.